CGCGGGGUGGAGCAGAUUGGUAGCUCGUCGGGCUCAUAACCCGAAGGUCGUCGGUUCAAAUCCGGCCCCCGCAACCA
This 77-nucleotide transfer RNA is filed under the name Vibrio cholerae. Its description in RNAcentral is "tRNA-Met". It matches the Rfam family "tRNA". From Rfam's summary of the family: Transfer RNA (tRNA) molecules are approximately 80 nucleotides in length. Their secondary structure includes four short double-helical elements and three loops (D, anti-codon, and T loops). RNAcentral also lists the same sequence under 4 other names. Lineage: Bacteria; Pseudomonadati; Pseudomonadota; Gammaproteobacteria; Vibrionales; Vibrionaceae. The record is from RNAcentral.